ACGCUCGACACCUACGAGGCAGCAGUGGGGAAUAUUGCACAAUGGGGGAAACCCUGAUGCAGCGACGCCGCGUGAAGGAUGAAGUAUUUCGGUAUGUAAACUUCUAUCAGCAGGGAAGAAAAUGACGGUACCUGACUAAGAAGCCCCGGCUAACUACGUGUCAGCAGCCGCGGUAAUCUGAGCGGGCUGGCAAGGC
RNAcentral lists this ribosomal RNA (196 nucleotides) under uncultured bacterium. RNAcentral's name for it is "partial 16S ribosomal RNA". It matches the Rfam family "Bacterial small subunit ribosomal RNA", at positions 326 to 539 of the family's 1533-position model. The record is from RNAcentral.